AUUGAACGCUGGCGGCAGGCCUAACACAUGCAAGUCGAGCGGAUGAAGGGAGCUUGCUCCUGGAUUCAGCGGCGGACGGGUGAGUAAUGCCUAGGAAUCUGCCUGGUAGUGGGGGGUAACGUCCGGAAACGGGCGCUAAUACCGCAUACGUCCUGAGGGAGAAAGUGGGGGAUCUUCGGACCUCACGCUAUCAGAUGAGCCUAGGUCGGAUUAGCUAGUUGGUGGGGUAAAGGCCUACCAAGGCGACGAUCCGUAACUGGUCUGAGAGGAUGAUCAGUCACACUGGAACUGAGACACGGUCCAGACUCCUACGGGAGGCAGCAGUGGGGAAUAUUGGACAAUGGGCGAAAGCCUGAUCCAGCAAUGCCGCGUGUGUGAAGAAGGUCUUCGGAUUGUAAAGCACUUUAAGUUGGGAGGAAGGGCAGUAAGUUAAUACCUUGCUGUUUUGACGUUACCAACAGAAUAAGCACCGGCUAACUUCGUG
Molecule: ribosomal RNA, 484 nt
Filed under: uncultured bacterium
Lineage: Bacteria
Description: partial 16S ribosomal RNA
Rfam family: Bacterial small subunit ribosomal RNA
Source: RNAcentral